GCCGAGGUGGUGGAAUCUGGUAGACACGCGAUCUUGAGGGGGUCGUGGGCGAAAGCCCGUGUGGGUUCAAUUCCCGCCCUCGGCACCA
This 88-nucleotide transfer RNA is filed under the name Chloroflexota bacterium. RNAcentral describes it as "tRNA-Leu". It matches the Rfam family "tRNA". Rfam says of the family: Transfer RNA (tRNA) molecules are approximately 80 nucleotides in length. Their secondary structure includes four short double-helical elements and three loops (D, anti-codon, and T loops). Further hydrogen bonds mediate the characteristic L-shaped molecular structure. tRNAs have two regions of fundamental functional importance: the anti-codon, which is responsible for specific mRNA codon recognition, and the 3' end, to which the tRNAs corresponding amino acid is attached (by aminoacyl-tRNA synthetases). tRNAs cope with the degeneracy of the genetic code in two manners: having more than one tRNA (with a specific anti-codon) for a particular amino acid; and 'wobble' base-pairing, i.e. permitting non-standard base-pairing at the 3rd anti-codon position. The record is from RNAcentral. Lineage: Bacteria; Bacillati; Chloroflexota.